GGGAUGGACCGCCUCGGCGGAAAGUCAAACUGAGUGAUUCUAUGCUUCCGAGAAAAGCUGCGGGCCGAGCAUUCCGGCUGUCCGUACCGCAAACCGACUCAGGUGGGCGGGAAGAGUAUUCCAAGGCGUUUGAGAGAACCGUGGUUAAGGAACUAGGCAAAAUUGACACCGUAACUUCGGGAUAAGGUGUGCCUCCGAGGUAGAGCUGAACAGGCCGAGCCAGAAGAGGUCGCAGAGAAUUGGGGGUAGCGACUGUUUACCAAAAACACAGGACUGUGCGAAGUCACGAAGACGACGUAUACGGUCUGACGCCUGCCCGGUGCUGGAAGGUUAAGAGGAGAGGUUAGAGCAAUCGAAGCUUUGAAUCGAAGCCCCAGUAAACGGCGGCCGUAACAAUAACGGUCCUAAGGUAGCGAAAUUCCUUGUCGGGUAAGUUCCGACCUGCACGAAUGGCGUAACGACUUCCCCGCUGUCUCAACCAUGGACUCAGUGG
Molecule: ribosomal RNA, 493 nt
Filed under: uncultured bacterium
Lineage: Bacteria
Description: bacterial LSU rRNA
Rfam family: Bacterial large subunit ribosomal RNA
Source: RNAcentral